Rhinolophus ferrumequinum (greater horseshoe bat) is the source of this 513-nucleotide long non-coding RNA. RefSeq lists it as uncharacterized. The record is from RefSeq and is a predicted model, not a curated record. Lineage: Eukaryota; Metazoa; Chordata; Mammalia; Chiroptera; Rhinolophidae. The transcript has 5 exons.
AAAAGAACAAAUGUUGGUCUGAUAUCAUCAGGAUCUCUGUCUCCAAGGUAAAAACUUCCUCGUGGCUGGUGUCGCAGCCCUUCCAGGGGCCUCCGGAAGACCUGAGCCUUUCUGUCAUGUAUGAACUUCGAGGUGAGCUCUUUGGAGGACCUUGGGGACUAUGAGCCACCUUCACAGAAACAUGCAGAAUCACGUCUGACCAAAUCCAUGAGCAUCGUGGCUGUGAACGUUGACACACACAAUGAACGUCACAAAGGGGAUACAGUAGACUACCAGCUCCUUUUUGGAAGUUGUCCCCAGUGGCUCCGCGUUAUACACUGACUGCGUGAAUGACAGAGGCUGCCAAGGACCCUCAGGAACCUGCUGAGGUUGGCCUCGCCUCAUACCAGCCUCCACAUGUGGCCCCUCGUAUGAAAUAACCUUCUGGAAGAAGCUGAGCAGCAAGAACUCUUAUAGAUAAGGGCUUUGAGAAACAGAGAGAAGAGACUUGUCACAACAAUGUCUAGAAUUUAC